UACGUAGGGAGCGAGCGUUGUCCGGAAUUACUGGGUGUAAAGGGAGCGUAGGCGGGGCGGCAAGUCAGGUGUGAAAUUUAUGGGCUUAACCCAUAACCUGCAUUUGAAACUGUCGCUCUUGAGUGAAGAAGAGGUUGGCGGAAUUCCUAGUGUAGCGGUGAAAUGCGUAGAUAUUAGGAGGAACACCAGUGGCGAAGGCGGCCAACUGGGCUUUUACUGACGCUGAGGCUCGAAAGCGUGGGGAG
This 245-nucleotide ribosomal RNA is filed under the name uncultured Ruminococcus sp. RNAcentral describes it as "partial 16S ribosomal RNA". It matches the Rfam family "Bacterial small subunit ribosomal RNA", at positions 524 to 768 of the family's 1533-position model. Lineage: Bacteria; Bacillati; Bacillota; Clostridia; Eubacteriales; Oscillospiraceae. The record is from RNAcentral.